AUGCAAGUCGAGCGGACAGAAGGGAGCUUGCUCCCGGAUGUUAGCGGCGGACGGGUGAGUAACACGUGGGUAACCUGCCUGUAAGACUGGGAUAACUCCGGGAAACCGGAGCUAAUACCGGAUAGUUCCUUGAACCGCAUGGUUCAAGGAUGAAAGACGGUUUCGGCUGUCACUUACAGAUGGACCCGCGGCGCAUUAGCUAGUUGGUGAGGUAACGGCUCACCAAGGCGACGAUGCGUAGCCGACCUGAGAGGGUGAUCGGCCACACUGGGACUGAGACACGGCCCAGACUCCUACGGGAGGCAGCAGUAGGGAAUCUUCCGCAAUGGACGAAAGUCUGACGGAGCAACGCCGCGUGAGUGAUGAAGGUUUUCGGAUCGUAAAGCUCUGUUGUUAGGGAAGAACAAGUGCAAGAGUAACUGCUUGCACCUUGACGGUACCUAACCAGAAAGCCACGGCUAACUACGUGCCAGCAGCCGCGGUAAUACGUAGGUGGCAAGCGUUGUCCGGAAUUAUUGGGCGUAAAGGGCUCGCAGGCGGUUUCUUAAGUCUGAUGUGAAAGCCCCCGGCUCAACCGGGGAGGGUCAUUGGAAACUGGGAAACUUGAGUGCAGA
RNAcentral lists this ribosomal RNA (614 nucleotides) under Bacillus sp. 69. RNAcentral describes it as "bacterial SSU rRNA". It matches the Rfam family "Bacterial small subunit ribosomal RNA", at positions 55 to 652 of the family's 1533-position model. The record is from RNAcentral. Lineage: Bacteria; Bacillati; Bacillota; Bacilli; Caryophanales; Bacillaceae.